This 373-nucleotide ribosomal RNA is filed under the name uncultured organism. RNAcentral's name for it is "partial 16S ribosomal RNA". It matches the Rfam family "Bacterial small subunit ribosomal RNA", at positions 527 to 896 of the family's 1533-position model. The record is from RNAcentral.
GGAAGGUGCAAGCGUUAAUCGGAAUUACUGGGGCGUAAAGCGCGCGUAGGCGGCUAGAUAAGUCGGGUGUGAAAGCCCUGGGCUCAACCUGGGGAACUGCAUUCGAUACUGUCUAGCUAGAGUGUGGUAGAGGGAGGCGGAAUUCCGCAUGUAGCGGUGAAAUGCGUAGAGAUGCGGAGGAACACCAAUGGCGAAGGCAGCCUUCUGGACCAACACUGACGCUGAGGCGCGAAAGCGUGGGGAGCAAACAGGAUUAGAUACCCUGGUAGUCCACGCCGUAAACGAUGUCAACUAGCCGUUGGGAGCAAUUUGGCUCUUGGUGGCGCAGCUAACGCGAUAAGUUGACCGCCUGGGGAGUACGGUCGCAAGAUUA